This 2287-nucleotide ribosomal RNA is filed under the name Thermoanaerobacterium sp. PSU-2. RNAcentral's name for it is "bacterial LSU rRNA". It matches the Rfam family "Bacterial large subunit ribosomal RNA", at positions 394 to 2724 of the family's 2925-position model. The record is from RNAcentral. Lineage: Bacteria; Bacillati; Bacillota; Clostridia; Thermoanaerobacterales; Thermoanaerobacteraceae.
UACCGAGUGGGAUCCAGAGUACCACAGGAUAGGCAACCCGGUGGGAAGACGGGAGGACCAUCUCCCAAGGCUAAAUACUCCUAAGUGACCGAUAGCGCAUAGUACCGUGAGGGAAAGGUGAAAAGAACCCCGGGAGGGGAGUGAAAGAGAACCUGAAACCAUAUGUCCACAAGCAGUGGAAGCGAAAGCGACCACGUACUUUUUGUAGAACGGACCGGCGAGUUAUAGAUAUGCAGCGAGGUUAAGCGAAAGCGGAGCCGAAGCGAAAGCGAGUCUUAAAAGGGCGAGAGUUGCAUAUCAUAGACCCGAAACCGUGCGACCUACCCAUGAUCAGGGUGAAGCCGGAGUAAGAUCUGGUGGAGGCCCGAACCACGUUGACGUUGAAAAGUCAUGGGAUGAAUUGUGGGUAGCGGAGAAAUUCCAAUCGAGCUCGGAGAUAGCUGGUUCUCCCCGAAAUAGCUUUAGGGCUAGCCUCAGGGGGAAGGAAAUAUGGAGGUAGAGCACUGAAUGGACUAGGGGCCAAAGAGGUUACCGAACCCUAUCAAACUCCGAAUGCCAUAUUGAGACCCUGGGAGUCAGACUACGAGUGAUAAGAUCCGUGGUCAAAAGGGAAAGAGCCCAGACCGACAGCUAAGGUCCCAAAGAGCAUGUUAAGUGGGAAAGGAAGUAGGAUUUCCAAGACAACCAGGAUGUUGGCUUAGAAGCAGCCAUACAUUCAAAGAGUGCGUAAUAGCUCACUGGUCGAGAAAUCCCGCGCCGAAAAUAAACGGGGCUAAAACAUGCCACCGAAGCUACGGAUUCUGAAAAGAAUGGUAGGGGAGCGUACUGUACAGGACGAAGGAUAAGCGAAAGCGAAUCUGGACAGUACAGUAGAGAGAAUGCCGGUAUAAGUAACGAGAGUAAGGCGAGAAACCUUACCGUCGAAAGCCUAAGGAUUCCUGGGGAAGGAUAAUCCGCCCAGGGUAAGUCGGGACCUAAGCCGAGGCGAAAGCGUAGGCGAUGGAGAACCGGUAAUAAAUCCGGUACCACCGAAAUCCGCUAAAAGAGAAGCAAGGACGCAGCGAGAUAAGAAAAGCGUGCGGUUGGUAGAGCACGUCCAAGCAGCGACGAAAAGAGCUUUGAGUGAAGUACCAAAGCUCAUAAGAGCUGUGAUGGGGAGCCGAAAGGCGAAGUUUCGAAGGGGCUGCCAAGAAAAGUUGCUAUCGAGGAUGAGGUGCCCGUACCACAAACCGACACAGGUAGGCGAGGAGAGAAUCCAAAGACGAGCGGGAGAACCCUCAUUAAGGAACUCGGCAAAAAGACUCCGUAACUUCGGGAGAAGGAGUGCCGAAAGGCCGCAGAGAAGAGGCCCAAGCGACUGUUUACCAAAAACACAGGUUUCUGCUAAGUCGAAAGACGAAGUAUAGGAGCUGACGCCUGCCCGGUGCUGGAAGGUUAAGGGGAAGGGUCAGGAGAAAAUCCAAAGCUCUGAACUUAAGCCCCAGUAAACGGCGGCCGUAACUAUAACGGUCCUAAGGUAGCGAAAUUCCUUGUCGGGUAAGUUCCGACCUGCACGAAAGGCGUAACGACUUGGGCGCUGUCUUGAAGGGGGACCCGGUGAAAUUGUAGUACUCGUGAAGAUGCGAGUUACCCGCGACAGGACAGAAAGACCCCAUGGAGCUUUACUGCAGCUUGUCACUGAAUUUUAGUAAUAUCUGUACAGGAUAGGUGGGAGGCUAAGAAAUAUGGGCGCCAGCCUAUAUGGAGCCAACGUUGGGAUACCACCCUGAUAUUACCGAAAUUCUAACAUAGGAGCCGUAAACCGGCAUAUGGACACUGACAGGCGGGCAGUUUGACUGGGGCGGUCGCCUCCUAAAAAGUAACGGAGGCGUCCAAAGGUUACCUCAGCGCGGAAGGAAAUCGCGCGAAAGAGUGCAAAGGCAGAAGGUAGCCUAACUGCGAGAAAGACAAUUCGAGCAGGGACGAAAGUCGGGCUUAGUGAUCCGGCGGUAGAGAAUGGGAUUGCCGUCGCUCAACGGAUAAAAGCUACCCUGGGGAUAACAGGCUGAUCUCCCCCAAGAGUCCACAUCGACGGGGAGGUUUGGCACCUCGAUGUCGGCUCAUCGCAUCCUGGGGCUGAAGUAGGUCCCAAGGGUUGGGCUGUUCGCCCAUUAAAGCGGUACGCGAGCUGGGUUCAGAACGUCGUGAGACAGUUCGGUCCCUAUCCGUCGCGGGCGCAGGAAAUUUGAGAGGAUCUGCCCUUAGUACGAGAGGACCGGGGUGGACAAACCGAUGGUGUACCAGUUGC